This 520-nucleotide unclassified non-coding RNA is filed under the name uncultured Entrophospora. RNAcentral describes it as "SSU rRNA". It matches the Rfam family "Eukaryotic small subunit ribosomal RNA", at positions 569 to 1085 of the family's 1831-position model. The record is from RNAcentral. Lineage: Eukaryota; Fungi; Glomeromycota; Glomeromycetes; Entrophosporales; Entrophosporaceae.
AGCAGCCGCGGUAAUUCCAGCUCCAAUAGCGUAUAUUAAAGUUGUUGCAGUUAAAAGCUCGUAGUUGAAUUUCGGGAUUGACACAUCGGUCGUGCCUUAAGGGGUAUGAACUGGUGUAGUCAAUUUCUCACCUUCUGGAGAACCGCGAUGCCCUUAAUUGGGUGUCGCGGGGAACCAGGACCUUUACUUUGAAAAAUUAGAGUGUUUAAAGCAGGCAUUUUGCUUGAAUACAUUAGCAUGGAAUAAUAAAAUAGGACGGCAUGAUUCUAUUUUGUUGGUUUCUAGGAUCACCGUAAUGAUUAAUAGGGAUAGUUGGGGGCAUUAGUAUUCAAUUGUCAGAGGUGAAAUUCUUGGAUUUAUUGAAGACUAACUACUGCGAAAGCAUUUGCCAAGGAUGUUUUCAUUAAUCAAGAACGAAAGUUAGGGAUCGAAGACGAUCAGAUACCGUCGUAGUCUUAACCAUAAACUAUGCCGACUAGGAAUCAGACGAUGUUAAUUUUUUAAUGUACUUCGUUUGGCA